CCACUCUGCUGAAAUUAGAGGAGAAAAAAAUAGGGAGUCUCGCUGUGUCGCGCAGACUGGAGUGCAGUGGUGCGAUCUGCACACUGCAACCUCCACCUCCUGAGAUCAAGCAAUUCUCCUGCCUCAACCUCACGGGUAGCUGGGAUUACAGACGUGCAUCACCACGCCCAGCUAAUUUUUGUAUUUUUAAUAGAGACAGGUUUUCACCAUGUUGGCCAGGUUGGUCUCAAACUCCCGACCUCAGGUGAUCCACCCGCCUCGGCCUCCCAAAGUGCUGGGAUUACAGGCAUGAGCCACCGGGCGGUUUCCAUGUGUGAUCUUUAAAAGGCAGAAACAAAUAAGCAAAAAUCAUUACUAAAGGCCCACGAGGGUUGUUUCUAUCUUAGAAAAUGUGUAAAGAAAAGUGAUACAACAAUAAAUGGUUUGAUUUAAUGAGAAGUCAAAAAUCAUAAGAUCUGUUGAAAAUAACAAAAUCACUUCUAAAAAAGAUAAUAUGUUUUAUUGAAAUAAAGCCUUAGAAGUCAUCUGGUUUUACCUUUUACAAAGAAGAAAGCAGUCUAAGAGAGGCCAAAUGACUUAUCCCAAGCUAUACGGCUAGGUAGUAGCAGAUUCAAAUUUAUACUACCCAGGCUUCCUAAUUCUUAGCCCAGAGCUGUGUCCACCCUACCACCCACCUUUUAAUUCAGUGCGAGCUCAAUUAUUGCUAACAGUUUUAUUGUUGACCUUCCAUGGACUCGAUAGUCAAAUCAAGUCUUCCAUUACAAUAAAUGGGAUUUAUUUG
RNAcentral lists this long non-coding RNA (781 nucleotides) under Homo sapiens (human). RNAcentral's name for it is "HSALNT0369869". Lineage: Eukaryota; Metazoa; Chordata; Mammalia; Primates; Hominidae. The record is from RNAcentral.